Nilaparvata lugens (brown planthopper) is the source of this 1355-nucleotide long non-coding RNA. RefSeq lists it as uncharacterized. The transcript is spliced from 2 exons. Lineage: Eukaryota; Metazoa; Arthropoda; Insecta; Hemiptera; Delphacidae. The record is from RefSeq and is a predicted model, not a curated record.
CUCACGUUUAUUCAUAGAAAAUGAAGCAAAUGCUCCAUAUUUUAGAAGUAUGAGCAAAUGCUCAACUUUAUUCAUAUGGCCCUAUAUAAUAUCAUUUUAAAUUUCGAAAUCAUAAUAUUUUCAGUAUUGGUUUUCUAUUCUAAUUGACAGGCUUCAUCAACAAUUCAUUCAAAAGAAACUUUUUCCAUUCUUUCCAAAAAAUAUUGGCAGUUCAUGAAUAUUCACUAUUGUACGAGAGAAUCAAAAUUCUCUUGAUCGAGAGAAUCGAUCAACAAAUUUUUCAAUAAUUGAGAAGCAUACUGUCUCUAUUGUCACAUCUAUUCAAAUUCAUAAAGUGUUUUAUUGAUAUAGGUAUGCUUGAUUUUUUCCAGAUUAUAAUCAACUUUUACUUAUUCAGUAGGCUUAUUUAUCUUGAAUGAUUUGCACAUCAUUCGCAGAAAAAUACUGAUGAAUACGAAAGUGUAUAAUUCACUAUCAUCGUUCACCUUACUAAUGUUAUUGAAUUGAGAACUAGUUUAUGUAGAGAGAUUACUCAGCAUUAUCAAACAGGAGAUACCAGUGCAACCAGUGUGGGAAAAGUUAUAAAGAAAAGAAAAGUUUGAAUAAACAUCAGAAGUAUGAGUGUGGCAUUGAACCGCAAUUCCAAUGUCCCUAUUGUCCUCAUCGGACCAAACAGAAAGGCCAUCUAAAAGCUCACAUUGGUGUCAUACAUGGCCCAAAUUUCAUUUAGAAUCUUUUUAACUAUAAUAUAAUACCUAAAUCUUUAUCAAAUAUGAAUUACUUGUCCUUACCAAUCUUAGUUUUAAAGAGAUUAAGAUAUUGGUAAUGGCCAAAAUUUCAAUUAGAGUCUUCGAAAUAUUCACGACUUUUCUAUUAAAUGUUAAUUCUUUUCCCAUUGAUAAUUUGUUUGUCCAUUUUUUAUCGGUGGAAAAUAUAGUUGAAUUGAAUUGAUUCAUUCACUUCACCAUUUAUCAAACAAUGCGAUUUUCUAGAUUAUGAUUCUAUGUGUUAAUGUUCAUCCACCAUCUCAUCACUGAACAAAAUUGAAUAGAAAUUCCAAUUUGAAUUUAUUUCCCUAGUGAAUAUUAAUUCUGUGUGAUAAAUUUUAUCCGAAGUGAAAAAAUAGAAAUAACUUGAGUUUUUGAGCGACAAUAAUAUUUCUUCCUGCUGGUAUUUGCAGACCAUGAAGUUAAGAGAACGACUUCCAUAAAUGUUUUGAAGAAAAGUUUAUUUGGUUGAAGUCUGCUUUCUCCAUAUACUUCAGUUGUUCCAAUAUAUUUCAUUCUCAUUUCUUGUGAAAUUUAGAGCAUCCAUUGUCUUUGUUAUUGUCAGUAUAAAUAUGCUACGCCCACAAA